CCGCGUGUGUUCGUUUAUGGAGCACCGCACGUGCCCGCGCAUCAUUUUCUGACGCCACUAAUCUGGAAGCUCUCUCCUUGGGCUCGUGGCAUCGCCUGGUGCCCGCGUGCCAGAAGACUACUGUUUUCAACUCGGGAUAAGACAUUUAAGUCUAUAUCGACGAUUAUACUAACUUUUAAAUGGUGUGUGAAAGUUAUAGCAUAUCGACGUUUUUGGGGACUCGAUGGCAUCAGUCGGUUGCAUCGUUUUACAUUAGGAUAACCGUAUUUUGAUUUAGUCCAUUUUCUUCUCGAGAACGGAUAACGAGGAGGAAGACACUUCGACCAUGGUUGUGUUUACACAGAAUGACUGAAACGAUAUUUUCAAAGAGCAACCGACGCGAGGGACAACGCGAGGGACGAGUACAUUUAUGGAUGGUCUUGGUAGGGCACAUUGGAACUCUAUUACUGUGUGAAUAGCCUACAAUUGACUUUUGCUUCCAGGACUCUACCUUUCGUUCUACCUUUGGGUCUGGGGGUUGUGGUUCUGUCUCUCUGGGAUUGUAGUUUUGAGGGAGAGUGUGGUGGCAUGUCUUGGAUAUAGACCUUGCUAUGAGUCUGGCGUGGAAAAUACCUCGUGGAAGGUGUGCAGCGUGCUACAGACUGGAAAGACUCGACAUCGGCAACUGAUAGGCUCCCCCCGUUUUUACCGAGCGUAAUGCACCUGGCAUGAAGACAGAGAAUGGAUAUUAUUUGGGAACUAUUUAUUAUUCUUCACGCCAAUUUCAUCAUCUGUGUAUCAGCUCAGCCAAAUGCACCUAAAAUACAUGAUGGAUGGUGGGCAUACAAGGAAGUGGUUCAGGGGAGCUUCGUACCAG
Salvelinus sp. IW2-2015 is the source of this 856-nucleotide non-coding RNA. The record is from RefSeq and is a predicted model, not a curated record. Lineage: Eukaryota; Metazoa; Chordata; Actinopteri; Salmoniformes; Salmonidae.